GACGAACGCUGGCGGCGUGCCUAAUACAUGCAAGUGGGACGCAAGGGAACACACUGUGCUUGCACACCGUGUUUUCUUGAGUCGCGAACGGGUGAGUAACGCGUAGGUAACCUGCCUAUUAGCGGGGGAUAACUAUUGGAAACGAUAGCUAAUACCGCAUAAUAUUAAUUAUUGCAUGAUAAUUGAUUGAAAGAUGCAAGCGCAUCACUAGUAGAUGGACCUGCGUUGUAUUAGCUAGUUGGUAAGGUAAGAGCUUACCAAGGCGACGAUACAUAGCCGACCUGAGAGGGUGAUCGGCCACACUGGGACUGAGACACGGCCCAGACUCCUACGGGAGGCAGCAGUAGGGAAUCUUCGGCAAUGGACGAAAGUCUGACCGAGCAACGCCGCGUGAGUGAAGAAGGUUUUCGGAUCGUAAAGCUCUGUUGUAAGUCAAGAACGUGUGUGAGAGUGG
RNAcentral lists this ribosomal RNA (454 nucleotides) under Streptococcus mutans. RNAcentral's name for it is "bacterial SSU rRNA". It matches the Rfam family "Bacterial small subunit ribosomal RNA", at positions 28 to 464 of the family's 1533-position model. The record is from RNAcentral. Lineage: Bacteria; Bacillati; Bacillota; Bacilli; Lactobacillales; Streptococcaceae.